Molecule: non-coding RNA, 293 nt
Filed under: Bernardetia litoralis DSM 6794
Lineage: Bacteria; Pseudomonadati; Bacteroidota; Cytophagia; Cytophagales; Bernardetiaceae
Source: RNAcentral
ACCUUUACAGAUUGAAAAGGUGGUGUUUUUUUAUGAAACUAAAAAAACACUGAAAAGGGAAUACGGUCUUCAUUUUAUGAUUUAUUCCGUAACUGUACCCGCAACUGUGAAUUUGAUUUUUUAGUAAUUAUCUAUUUCUAAAAAAUAGUAUAUACUGCUUCUACACUUAAACUAUAAAGUAUAUACUGCUAAGUAAUUAUUUAAUUUUUGAAAUUUGAUACUUCUGAUUUCUUAUUUCUAAAUUUUUACUUAAUUCAAUCAGUCAGGAGACCUGCCUUUUCAGUUAUUGUACU